GUCUCCUUGUGCUGUACUGUUUGUCUUACAACAUUAAAUCAUUUACUUUGAAUGUUGCUUCUUCUUGGCAUUUUGUUCAUUGCAUAGUGUGAGCACUGCACUUUAUGUCCUCAGUUUUUGAGGAAGUCUUUUGUGAUCUUCUCAUCAUGUUUUCUUUUAAGCAACUGAUGGGACCUUUUAUGUUUUUUAAUUAAUCCUUUAUUUGAGCCAUUGUGCUAUGGCUUUACAACAAUUUCAAAUGAUAAUGGGAUUUGAUCGGGGGUGACAGUUGAUAUUAUACUUCAGAUUUGUUUGACGGUAUAUAUAUUUUUUAUUUUAAAGAAGGGCAAUGGUUGAGGUUGUUCCAGUCAAUUCUUCAUAAAUUAAUAUUUUUAUUUAGUUACAGUUAUGAUUGGGCAUGUGGAUUGAUAGA
RNAcentral lists this unclassified non-coding RNA (412 nucleotides) under Hevea brasiliensis (rubber tree). The record is from RNAcentral. Lineage: Eukaryota; Viridiplantae; Streptophyta; Magnoliopsida; Malpighiales; Euphorbiaceae.